GAUGAAGAACGCAGCGAAAUGCGAUAAGUAAUGUGAAUUGCAGAAUUCAGUGAAUCAUCGAAUCUUUGAACGCACAUUGCGCCCGCCAGUAUUCUGGCGGGCAUGCCUGUUCGAGCGUUAUUACAACCCUCAGGCCCCCGGGCCUGGCGUUGGGGAUCGGCAGAAGCCCCCUGUGGGCACACGCCGUCCCUCAAAUACAGUGGCGGUCCCGCCGCAGCUUCCAUUGCGUAGUAGCUAACACCUCGCAACUGGAGAGCGGCGCGGCCAUGCCGUAAAACACCCAACUUCUGAAUGUUGACCUCGAAUCAGGUAGGAAUACCCGCUGAACUUAAGCAUAUCAAUAAGCGGAGGA
This 352-nucleotide unclassified non-coding RNA is filed under the name soil metagenome. Its description in RNAcentral is "partial contains 5.8S ribosomal RNA, internal transcribed spacer 2, and large subunit ribosomal RNA". The stretch from base 1 to 120 matches the Rfam family "5.8S ribosomal RNA", at positions 35 to 154 of the family's 154-position model. The record is from RNAcentral.